CCCACCUCUUCCCAUUCCGAACAGAGAAGUUAAGCCCACUUGCGCCGAUGGUACUGCAAUGCAAUGCGGGAGAGUAGGUAGCCGCCCUUU
This 90-nucleotide ribosomal RNA is filed under the name Prevotella sp. P5-108. The record is from RNAcentral. RNAcentral also lists the same sequence under 1 other name. Lineage: Bacteria; Pseudomonadati; Bacteroidota; Bacteroidia; Bacteroidales; Prevotellaceae.